UACGAAGGGUCCGAGCGUUGUUCGGAAUCACUGGGCUUAAAGCGCACGUAGGCGGAAGAGUAAGUGUCUUGUGAAAUCCCCCGGCUCAACCGGGGAACUGCUCGGCAAACUACUCUUCUUGAGACAAGUAGGGGUACAUGGAACUCUAGGUGGAGCGGUGAAAUGCGUAGAUAUCUAGAGGAACGCCAGCGGAGAAAUCGGUGUACUGGGCUUGUACUGACGCUGAGGUGCGAAAGCGUGGGUAGCGAACGGG
Molecule: ribosomal RNA, 253 nt
Filed under: uncultured bacterium
Lineage: Bacteria
Description: partial 16S ribosomal RNA
Rfam family: Bacterial small subunit ribosomal RNA
Source: RNAcentral